RNAcentral lists this unclassified non-coding RNA (283 nucleotides) under Glomus sp. Its description in RNAcentral is "partial internal transcribed spacer 2". The record is from RNAcentral. Lineage: Eukaryota; Fungi; Glomeromycota; Glomeromycetes; Glomerales; Glomeraceae.
GUGAAUCAUCGAAUUUUUGAACGCAAAUUGCACUCUCCGCGGAAAGUAUGCCCGUUUUAGGUUCAGCCUAUAAAAAUCGACAUCGUUGCCGUUUCGCGGUUGCGUUCGUCGGAAAUUGGUUCAUCUUAAAUCCUCUUGGUUUAAGUGACUUAGAAUUUUCUUUUGUUUCCAUGCUCGUUUCUUUGAUCUUUUGCUUUACACGUUUAAGGUAUCGAUUUUUACUAUACGUGACCAUUAUAUCGGAUCGCUUCCAUAAUCUUUCAUUAACUGACCUCAGACAGGU